AUGCUUCCUCCUCUAUUAAAACCCCAAAGAAUUUUAAUUUAAACUUAAUUAGAGUUUAAGUAAAACGUUACACAUUAAUUAUCCAGUCUCAAAGGACAUGCAAAAUAAUGUCCUUUCACAGGAAGUUGGUUCAGCACUGACUAACUGCCAACUGUCAGACUAAGGAAUUUUUAAAGGGACCUGCAUGCAGAAGUUUAAAAAGUGGAGGCACUGCAGAUAGAAGUCAACAACAGACAACUGAGAAAAGGCACCAAGGUAAUUGUUACGUCUUGGCUGGUGAACUCUUAAAUCAACAAAGGAGCCCGUCUCUCUGCUAAUCAGCCCAGGCGAGUCCCCCGCCUGACAGCGGAGCACAGAAGUGAAUCUACGCUGCGGGGUUUCUCUCUUGUUUUCCAAUUCAACGUUUGCAACACAAAGGGGAAUGCUGUCCUUACAAUUUUCUGGAAUGUAGGCACUCGGAGAAAGUUGAGCCUCAGGAGCUGGCACGAAGAGGUGAUGCGACCGGGUCUGAAGCAAUUAAAAUGAGCCCCCUUUCUCGGUAUUUAGCAGGUGGAGUAGCAGGGCCAAUCCGUCUCUGAACCUGAAGUCUCACAAAAUUGAGUAGUUUUCUUAACCGACUGGAUCCGGAGGCGCAGGUAAUUGUAAGCGCAAAGACGCCCAGAGCUCCAUCCUCUCCAUCACGUCCGUCCGAGGAGUAGAAGCAGACGGCAGUCUUCAAAAUUCUCGCUAAAAUCUCUCGAACUGAUCAACCACUUACUAGGAUUUGAAGAUUUUUUUCUAGCCCCAAAUCCACCUUCCCAUCCUCCCUCAGAGUCUACUUGUAGAUGCCACCAAUGAUUGCCCCUCCCCUUAAAAACAGCCCCUGCCCCACACAUCUCUCAGCUACUCUAAACAGCCCUGACAGUUUAGCCACUAGGUUAAUUCAUAGAAAGUAGCUAUAACUCUUGACAUCACCUCCGCAACCCACCCGAGGACUCCAGCCCAGGACACCUUGCUAGGAGGCUGAUUUUUGAGCGCUGAAUUCUGAGGCUAAGGGAAGGUUAUUUGAGGCGUCCUGAUAGAUUUCCGGGCUUCCAAUUCCCUCCCCCGCUUGGCUGGUAAUUUUCUGCUGCUCCUCCUUCUCCUCCUCCUCCUCCUCUUGACCUCCUCCAAGGUACCUUCGCCUCCCCUCCUCCACUCGUUCCCAGUAAACCUCCAGCAGGCGGUGGAAAUCAAUCCUUUGGCGCUAAAGUCAGAGCUGCCCGUUGGACAAAAUUGUAGUGGGGGACAGGGUGUCAUUUCUUUCAGAAGGAAUGUCAUUUGAUCAACUCGACUGAGUUAACUUGCUCCCGGUUUCCUGAGAGCUCGGGUGGGCCCGUUUUGCUAGAUUCAGUGCAGAUAUGUUAGCUUUCAGGCUACUCGUCCAAGACUUGAGAGAUAAAGGUUUCUCUCUUCUCCAGAUUCCCAACUACUCCCAUGAGAAUCCGAUACAUUUAAGGAAAGCUUUGCCAGAUGUAGGUUUCAGAGCGUCCUUGGGCCAGAACCUCCCAGUCAGCACAUUGCCUUCACUGGCUCCAACUUGGGCUCCACACAGAACUCCCAGCAAGUUAAAAAUUACCUGUUCCUAAUCACUGACAGUCCCAAAAACAAAAAAGAAACACUCUCCCCUUCCCUAAAAAAGGGGGGGAAGAAAAAGAUUUAACCUGACAUUACUAGCCACUUUUGUGCGAUCAUAGUAUUUCCAGAAGCACAAUUUUAAAUGAAGGGUACAAAUUUCUGUCCUCCACUGGUCGAACUCCUCCCUGCAAUGAAGAGCGAACCUCACAUUCUCAAGACCGAUCUGAGGUUUGUGGCUUCCCCGCCGCCGGGAGCGUGGAAUUCUAUCUCGGCUGGUAACCGAGCAGCAGACCGCACAGGAACGCUGCCUCCCGGGCUGCCUCUGCCAGUAAAGAAUAUCCGGAACGUCGGUGACGGAAACAGCCACCUGAACCCAGAAACACACUUCAGCUUGCAGAAGAAGAUACUUGCUAAUUCAUCCCCAGAUUUGUUUCAACUGGUUAAUAAAGCAAUUGACACUCAAGGAAACCACAUUUGCAGCAGGAGUCUUGGUCAAUAAAAUGAGAAUCACAACUGAAGGGUGGUGGUUGUUGUGGUGGUUAACAACUGCCUUUAUUAUUAUCAU
Long non-coding RNA from Canis lupus familiaris (dog), 2161 nucleotides. RefSeq lists it as uncharacterized. The transcript is spliced from 4 exons. NCBI's taxonomy places the organism in Eukaryota, Metazoa, Chordata, Mammalia, Carnivora, Canidae. The record is from RefSeq and is a predicted model, not a curated record.